RNAcentral lists this ribosomal RNA (503 nucleotides) under uncultured Arthrobacter sp. Its description in RNAcentral is "bacterial SSU rRNA". It matches the Rfam family "Bacterial small subunit ribosomal RNA", at positions 870 to 1398 of the family's 1533-position model. Lineage: Bacteria; Bacillati; Actinomycetota; Actinomycetes; Micrococcales; Micrococcaceae. The record is from RNAcentral.
CGCCUGGGGAGUACGGUCGCAAGAUUGGAACUCAAAGGAAUUGACGGGAGCCUACACGAGUGGUGGAGCAUGUGGUUUAAUGCGAUAAUCCGCGCAAAACCUUACCAAUUCUUGACAUAUGAAAAAGAUUUAUGUUGAUUAAAAAUUUAACUAUUUUUCAAUACAGGUGUUGCACGACUGUCGUCAGCUCGUGUCGUGAGAUGUUGGGUUAAGUCCCGCAACGAGCGCAACCCUUGUUUUUAGUUGCCUUAGGAACUCUAAAAAGACUGCUGGUUAUAAACCGGAGGAAGGUGGGGAUGACGUCAAGUCAGCAUGCCCCUUACACCCUGGGCUACACACGUGCUACAUUGGGCGAGACAAUGAGAUGCAAAUCUGCGAAGAUAGCUAAUCUAUAAACUCGUUCUAAGUUCGGAUUGUAGGCUGCACUCGCUACAUGAGGUGGAUCGCUAGUAUCGCUGGUCAGUACACAGCGUGAUUCGUCCCGGGCUUGACACACGCCCGUC